UACAGAGGUCCCGAGCGUUGUUCGGAUUCACUGGGCGUAAAGGGUGCGUAGGUGGUUGGGUAAGUUUGAUGUGAAAGCUCUGGGCUCAACCCAGAAAUGGCAUUGGAUACUAUCUGGCUAGAGGAAUGGAGGGGGGACUGGAAUACUUGGUGUAGCAGUGAAAUGCGUAGAUAUCAAGUGGAACACCAGUGGCGAAGGCGAGUCCCUGGACAUUUCCUGACACUGAGGCACGAAAGCUAGGGGAGCAAACAGG
Molecule: ribosomal RNA, 253 nt
Filed under: uncultured bacterium
Lineage: Bacteria
Description: partial 16S ribosomal RNA
Rfam family: Bacterial small subunit ribosomal RNA
Source: RNAcentral